Molecule: ribosomal RNA, 332 nt
Filed under: uncultured bacterium
Lineage: Bacteria
Description: bacterial SSU rRNA
Rfam family: Bacterial small subunit ribosomal RNA
Source: RNAcentral
CGCGUAGGUGGUUAUUUAAGUCAGAUGUGAAAUCCCUGGGCUUAACCUAGGAAUUGCAUUUGAAACUAGAUGGCUAGAGUAUGGUAGAGGGAAGUGGAAUUUCCGGUGUAGCGGUGAAAUGCGUAGAUAUCGGAAGGAACAUCAGUGGCGAAGGCGACUUCCUGGACCAUUACUGACACUGAGGCGCGAAAGCGUGGGGAGCGAACAGGAUUAGAUACCCUGGUAGUCCACGCCGUAAACGAUGAGAACUAGAUGUUAGGGGGCUUAGACCUUUUAGUAUCGCAGCAAACGCGUUAAGUUCUCCGCCUGGGGAGUACGGCCGCAAGGUUAAA